CCCUUAGAUGUUCUGGGCCGCACGCGCGCUACAAUGAUGAAUUCAACGAGUUUAUAACCUUGGUUGAAAAGCCUGGGUAAUCUUUUGAACUUUCGUCGUGAUGGGGCUAGGCCCUUGCAAUUAUUGGUCUCCAACGAGGAAUUCCUAGUAAACGCAAGUCAUCAGCUUGCAUUGAUUACGUCCCUGCCCUUUGUACACACCGCCCGUCGCACCUACCGAUUGAAUGGUCCGGUGAAAUCUUCGGAUUGAGACUUUGUUUUCUUCACGGAAAACGCUGUUUUAAAAAGUUGAUUAAACCUUACCAUUUAGAGGAAGGUGAAGUCGUAACA
RNAcentral lists this ribosomal RNA (329 nucleotides) under uncultured eukaryote. RNAcentral's name for it is "partial 18S ribosomal RNA". It matches the Rfam family "Eukaryotic small subunit ribosomal RNA", at positions 1470 to 1796 of the family's 1831-position model. The record is from RNAcentral.